CCUACGGGUGGCAGCAGUGAGGAAUAUUGGUCAAUGGGCGCGAGCCUGAACCAGCCAAGUAGCGUGAGGGAUGACUGCCCUACGGGUUGUAAACUUCUUUUAUCAAGGAAUAAAGUGAGGCACGUGUGCCUUUUUGUAUGUACUUUAUGAAUAAGGAUCGGCUAACUCCGUGCCAGCAGCCGCGGUAAUACGGAGGAUCCGAGCGUUAUCCGGAUUUAUUGGGUUUAAAGGGAGCGUAGGUGGGUUGUUAAGUCAGUUGUGAAAGUUUGCGGCUCAACCGUAAAAUUGCAAUUGAUACUGGCAGGCUUGAGUACAGGUGAGGUAGGCGGAAUUCGUGGUGUAGCGGUGAAAUGCUUAGAUAUCACGAAGAACUCCGAUUGCGAAGGCAGCUUACUAAAGCGCCACUGACAUUGAGGCUCGAAAGUGUGGGUAUCGAACAGGAUUAGAUACCCCUGUAGUC
This 460-nucleotide ribosomal RNA is filed under the name uncultured bacterium. RNAcentral describes it as "partial 16S ribosomal RNA". It matches the Rfam family "Bacterial small subunit ribosomal RNA", at positions 338 to 795 of the family's 1533-position model. The record is from RNAcentral.